GUCCCUUGCGAUUGGGGACAUCGGAUAAAAUUAAAACAAUAUACAGUAGAUUAGCAUGGCCCAACGCGAAGAUGAGACGCAAAAACCGAGAAAAGAUACUAUAAAUG
Molecule: small nuclear RNA, 107 nt
Organism: Prosopis cineraria
Lineage: Eukaryota; Viridiplantae; Streptophyta; Magnoliopsida; Fabales; Fabaceae
Source: RefSeq, a predicted model, not a curated record